RNAcentral lists this ribosomal RNA (164 nucleotides) under Agrostis stolonifera. RNAcentral describes it as "5.8S ribosomal RNA". It matches the Rfam family "5.8S ribosomal RNA". Rfam says of the family: 5.8S ribosomal RNA (5.8S rRNA) is a component of the large subunit of the eukaryotic ribosome. It is transcribed by RNA polymerase I as part of the 45S precursor that also contains 18S and 28S rRNA. Functionally, it is thought that 5.8S rRNA may be involved in ribosome translocation. Lineage: Eukaryota; Viridiplantae; Streptophyta; Magnoliopsida; Poales; Poaceae. The record is from RNAcentral.
CACACGACUCUCGGCAACGGAUAUCUCGGCUCUCGCAUCGAUGAAGAACGUAGCGAAAUGCGAUACCUGGUGUGAAUUGCAGAAUCCCGCGAACCAUCGAGUCUUUGAACGCAAGUUGCGCCUGAGGCCAUUCGGUUGAGGGCACGCCUGCCUGGGCGUCACGC